Molecule: long non-coding RNA, 554 nt
Filed under: Mus spicilegus (steppe mouse)
Lineage: Eukaryota; Metazoa; Chordata; Mammalia; Rodentia; Muridae
Description: lncRNA (ENSMSIG00000014819.1)
Source: RNAcentral
ACCCUUUGUCUCCCAGAGUUGAGCUGAGUUGUUUCUUCUCUCCCCGGAGGCCUUUUGGACACUUCCCCUGCCUCAAAGGACAAGUUCCCUCAGGCCCUCCCUUGCAGAGAACUGAGAACAAUGAUGGAUUCAGACCUCUGAUCUCACAACCUCAGCCCCUACUUCUGUCUCAGGACACCGCUGAUCUGUAUCCUCCUGCAAGAUCUUAGCAGACCUCACCUUGCAAAUCUUGGAUAAACACACAAGCACGGCAGUUUCAGUUGCAGAAAAACUGAUGAGGAAUUACAGUGUUACGGAUGUGUCAUCUCCACCCUACGGUUACCAGUGGGAGAAUUCGGCUGACUGCGGAGGGUGUGGACACAGGGAUCCGGGGCCUCCACCGUGUUUCAUUAUCAGAACUCAUUAUUCACCCUCACUUCCGAGAGUCCUUACUCAAAAUGAAGGGUUAACCACCUCUUCUCUUAAUGGGGCCUAAAAUCCAUCCCUAUGGUGAGUGCUGCCUUUUCCCUGAGUUAUGUCCCUCAGUACCAAACCAUGCUUAGAGAGGACGUUCC